This is a non-coding RNA of Procavia capensis (Cape rock hyrax), 257 nucleotides long. Lineage: Eukaryota; Metazoa; Chordata; Mammalia; Hyracoidea; Procaviidae. The record is from Rfam.
UGUGUAGAAAUGAACUCCUGUCAGAGUUUCAAACAAAUUAAUAUUUUUGGUAAAAUGUGCUGAUGUAAGGAGCUGGAAGAUUAGUGGUGCGAGGUGACAAGUAGUACAUUCCUUUGCAUGGAAAUAGCAAUCCUGCAGGUGACUGAGGCUGUAGCAGUUUUAUUGAAGAUUCAAGUUUGAUUGACCUCUGUUAGGGUAAUUAACCUUUCUGAAAUUAAAAACCAGAGCUGAAUUAUUCUGUCCAAUUUAAAUGCAAA